GCUCCUGUAGCUCAGUUGGAUAGAGCGGCGGACUUCUAAUCCGUAGGUCGUAGGUUCGAUUCCUACCGGGGGCGCCA
RNAcentral lists this transfer RNA (77 nucleotides) under Acidimicrobiia bacterium BACL6 MAG-120924-bin43. RNAcentral describes it as "tRNA-Arg". It matches the Rfam family "tRNA". Rfam says of the family: Transfer RNA (tRNA) molecules are approximately 80 nucleotides in length. Their secondary structure includes four short double-helical elements and three loops (D, anti-codon, and T loops). The record is from RNAcentral. RNAcentral also lists the same sequence under 2 other names. Lineage: Bacteria; Bacillati; Actinomycetota; Acidimicrobiia.